RNAcentral lists this ribosomal RNA (1552 nucleotides) under Escherichia coli. Its description in RNAcentral is "bacterial SSU rRNA". It matches the Rfam family "Bacterial small subunit ribosomal RNA". Lineage: Bacteria; Pseudomonadati; Pseudomonadota; Gammaproteobacteria; Enterobacterales; Enterobacteriaceae. The record is from RNAcentral.
AAAUUGAAGAGUUUGAUCAUGGCUCAGAUUGAACGCUGGCGGCAGGCCUAACACAUGCAAGUCGAACGGUAACAGGAAUCAGCUUGCUGAUUCGCUGACGAGUGGCGGACGGGUGAGUAAUGUCUGGGAAACUGCCCGAUGGAGGGGGAUAACUACUGGAAACGGUAGCUAAUACCGCAUAACGUCGCAAGACCAAAGAGGGGGACCUUCGGGCCUCUUGCCAUCGGAUGUGCCCAGAUGGGAUUAGCUAGUAGGUGGGGUAACGGCUCACCUAGGCGACGAUCCCUAGCUGGUCUGAGAGGAUGACCAGCCACACUGGAACUGAGACACGGUCCAGACUCCUACGGGAGGCAGCAGUGGGGAAUAUUGCACAAUGGGCGCAAGCCUGAUGCAGCCAUGCCGCGUGUAUGAAGAAGGCCUUCGGGUUGUAAAGUACUUUCAGCGGGGAGGAAGGGAGUAAAGUUAAUACCUUUGCUCAUUGACGUUACCCGCAGAAGAAGCACCGGCUAACUCCGUGCCAGCAGCCGCGGUAAUACGGAGGGUGCAAGCGUUAAUCGGAAUUACUGGGCGUAAAGCGCACGCAGGCGGUUUGUUAAGUCAGAUGUGAAAUCCCCGGGCUCAACCUGGGAACUGCAUCUGAUACUGGCAAGCUUGAGUCUCGUAGAGGGGGGUAGAAUUCCAGGUGUAGCGGUGAAAUGCGUAGAGAUCUGGAGGAAUACCGGUGGCGAAGGCGGCCCCCUGGACGAAGACUGACGCUCAGGUGCGAAAGCGUGGGGAGCAAACAGGAUUAGAUACCCUGGUAGUCCACGCCGUAAACGAUGUCGACUUGGAGGUUGUGCCCUUGAGGCGUGGCUUCCGGAGCUAACGCGUUAAGUCGACCGCCUGGGGAGUACGGCCGCAAGGUUAAAACUCAAAUGAAUUGACGGGGGCCCGCACAAGCGGUGGAGCAUGUGGUUUAAUUCGAUGCAACGCGAAGAACCUUACCUGGUCUUGACAUCCACAGAACUUUCCAGAGAUGGAUUGGUGCCUUCGGGAACUGUGAGACAGGUGCUGCAUGGCUGUCGUCAGCUCGUGUUGUGAAAUGUUGGGUUAAGUCCCGCAACGAGCGCAACCCUUAUCCUUUGUUGCCAGCGGUCCGGCCGGGAACUCAAAGGAGACUGCCAGUGAUAAACUGGAGGAAGGUGGGGAUGACGUCAAGUCAUCAUGGCCCUUACGACCAGGGCUACACACGUGCUACAAUGGCGCAUACAAAGAGAAGCGACCUCGCGAGAGCAAGCGGACCUCAUAAAGUGCGUCGUAGUCCGGAUUGGAGUCUGCAACUCGACUCCAUGAAGUCGGAAUCGCUAGUAAUCGUGGAUCAGAAUGCCACGGUGAAUACGUUCCCGGGCCUUGUACACACCGCCCGUCACACCAUGGGAGUGGGUUGCAAAAGAAGUAGGUAGCUUAACCUUCGGGAGGGCGCUUACCACUUUGUGAUUCAUGACUGGGGUGAAGUCGUAACAAGGUAACCGUAGGGGAACCUGCGGUUGGAUCACCUCCUUACCUUAAAGAA